GAUGAACGCUGGCGGCGUGCCUAAUACAUGCAAGUCGAGCGGACGGACGAGAAGCUUGUGUCCUUGAUGUUAGCGGCGGACGGGCGAGUAACACGUGGAUAACCUACUUCUAAGACUGGGAUAACAUCGGGAAACCGGUGCUAAUAACGGCUCAUACUUUGAACCGCAGGGAUCAAAAGUGCAUGACGGUCUUGCUGUCUCUAAUAGAUGGUUCCGCGCUGCCUUAGGUAGUUGGUAAGGUAACGGCCUACCAAGGCAACGAUGCAUAGCCGACCUGAGAGGGUUGUCCGCCACACGUGAACUGGAGCACGGUCCCGACCCCCACGGGGGGCAGCCGGAGGGAAUUUUCGGCCAUGGGCGGAAAGCUGGCUGAGGAAAUCCGCGUGAGUGAAAGAGGUCUUCGGAUCUGAAAACUCUUUUAUUAGGGAAAAACAUGUGUGUAGUUAACUGUGCGCAUCUUGGCCGUACCUAAACAGAUAGGCACGGCUAACUACGUG
Molecule: ribosomal RNA, 497 nt
Filed under: uncultured bacterium
Lineage: Bacteria
Description: partial 16S ribosomal RNA
Rfam family: Bacterial small subunit ribosomal RNA
Source: RNAcentral